Molecule: ribosomal RNA, 253 nt
Filed under: uncultured bacterium
Lineage: Bacteria
Description: partial 16S ribosomal RNA
Rfam family: Bacterial small subunit ribosomal RNA
Source: RNAcentral
UACGUAGGGGGCAAGCGUUAUCCGGAUUUACUGGGUGUAAAGGGAGCGUAGACGGCCAUGCAAGCCAGGGGUGAAAGCCCGGGGCCCAACCCCGGGACUGCCCUUGGAACUGCAUGGCUGGAGUGCGGGAGGGGCAGGCGGAAUUCCUGGUGUAGCGGUGAAAUGCGUAGAUAUCAGGAGGAACACCGGCGGCGAAGGCGGCCUGCUGGACCGCGACUGACGUUGAGGCUCGAAAGCGUGGGGAGCGAACAGG